GAGUUUGAUCCUGGCUCAGAAUCAACGCUGGCGGCGUGCCUAACACAUGCAAGUCGAGCGAGAAAGGGUAGCAAUACCUGAGUAAAGCGGCGCACGGGUGAGUAACACGUGACUAACCUACCCUGGAGUGGGGAAUAACUGAGGGAAACCUUAGCUAAUACCGCAUAAUACCCACGGGUCAAAGGAGCAAUUCGCUCUGGGAGGGGGUCGCGGCCGAUUAGUUAGUUGGCGGGGUAACGGCCCACCAAGACGAUGAUCGGUAUCCGGCCUGAGAGGGCGCACGGACACACUGGAACUGAAACACGGUCCAGACUCCUACGGGAGGCAGCAGUGGGGAAUUUUGCGCAAUGGGGGAAACCCUGACGCAGCAACGCCGCGUGGAGGAUGAAGUCCUUCGGGACGUAAACUCCUUUCGAUCGGGACGAUUAUGACGGUACCGGAAGAAGAAGCCCCGGCUAACUUCGUGCCAGCAGCCGCGGUAAUACGAGGGGGGCGAGCGUUGUUCGGAAUUAUUGGGCGUAAAGGGUGCGUAGGCGGUUUGGUAAGUCUGAUGUGAAAUCUAUGGGCUCAACUCAUAGUCUGCAUCGGAAACUGCCGGGCUUGAGUGUGGGAGAGGUGAGUGGAAUUUCCGGUGUAGCGGUGAAAUGCGUAGAUAUCGGAAGGAACACCUGUGGCGAAAGCGGCUCACUGGACCAUAACUGACGCUGAUGCACGAAAGCUAGGGGAGCAAACAGGAUUAGAUACC
This 745-nucleotide ribosomal RNA is filed under the name uncultured bacterium. RNAcentral describes it as "bacterial SSU rRNA". It matches the Rfam family "Bacterial small subunit ribosomal RNA", at positions 9 to 786 of the family's 1533-position model. The record is from RNAcentral.